AUAAGGAAAAAGAAAAUAGAAAUUAAAAAAAAAUGAUCUCAUCCUUCUACUCUCUCGUUCACGCUCCCUCUCUCCAUGCCGAGUUCUCCAUCUCUGUAAAGAUUUUCAAUAGCCCUCUACUCCCUCCGAUCAGCCACCGCAACUCCUCUGGCCGCUCCAUCAUGAAACAUGUAAAACACUCCAUUAAUCCAAGCUCUCAAUUCCCCUUCUUCCCCUCAAUUUUGGAGCUUAGGUUGCAAACUCACCUCCACUAAUCUUUGGAAAAUAGUAAAAUUAGAGAGUAUAGAAGCGAGUGAACUCGCUAGUUGGCAGCAGCACGUGUCAAGUCACCACCUCCCUUUUUGCUGGUACAGUCGGAGUUUACACGUGGCAUGCUUAGGUUAUCUUUUGUUGUAAAUAGUUGGGUUACAAAUGUAAGGUUAUAACCUUCUUUUUGCUAGUGGAGUUGUAUGUAUAUCUAUCUAAACAGGUUAAUGUUAUUUUGUUAUGUAUAGUACUCCCUCCGUUCCAUGUUAAUAGAGUCAUUUUACCAUUA
Long non-coding RNA from Salvia splendens (bonfire salvia), 535 nucleotides. RefSeq lists it as uncharacterized. The transcript has 2 exons. The record is from RefSeq and is a predicted model, not a curated record. NCBI's taxonomy places the organism in Eukaryota, Viridiplantae, Streptophyta, Magnoliopsida, Lamiales, Lamiaceae.